AUUGAACGCUGGCGGCAUGCUUUACACAUGCGAGUCGAACGGCAGCGCGGGGCAACCUGGCGGCGAGUGGCGAACGGGUGAGUAAUAUAUCGGAACGUACCCAGAAGUGGGGGAUAACGUAGCGAAAGUUACGCUAAUACCGCAUACGAUCUACGGAUGAAAGUAGGGGACCGCAAGGCCUUAUGCUUUUGGAGCGGCCGAUAUCUGAUUAGCUAGUUGGUGAGGUAAAGGCUCACCAAGGCGACGAUCAGUAGCUGGUCUGAGAGGACGACCAGCCACACUGGAACUGGGACACGGUCCAGACUCCUACGGGAGGCAGCAGUGGGGAAUUUUGGACAAUGGGCGCAAGCCUGAUCCAGCAAUGCCGCGUGAGUGAAGAAGGCCUUCGGGUUGUAAAGCUCUUUUGUCAGGGAAGAAACGGUAGAGGCUAAUAUCCUUUGCUAAUGACGGUACCUGAAGAAUAAGCACCGGCUAACUACGUG
Molecule: ribosomal RNA, 482 nt
Filed under: uncultured bacterium
Lineage: Bacteria
Description: partial 16S ribosomal RNA
Rfam family: Bacterial small subunit ribosomal RNA
Source: RNAcentral